RNAcentral lists this ribosomal RNA (491 nucleotides) under uncultured bacterium. RNAcentral's name for it is "bacterial SSU rRNA". It matches the Rfam family "Bacterial small subunit ribosomal RNA", at positions 29 to 509 of the family's 1533-position model. The record is from RNAcentral.
AACAAACGCUGGCGGCGUGUCUUAAGCAUGCAAGUUGAGCGGCAAGGAGGAGAGAUCCUCCCUAGAGCAGCGGACUGGUGAGUAACGCGUGGGUAAUCUAUCUUAGGCAUGGGGAUAGUCACUAGAAAUAGUGGGUAAUACCGAAUAAGUUCCAUAAGGGGAGGACUUAUGGAAGAAAGGUGCUACGGCACUGGCCUUAGGUGAGCUCGCGUCCCAUUAGCUAGUUGGUGAGGUAAGGCCCACCAAGGCGAUGAUGGGUAGCCGGCCUGAGAGGGUGUACGGCCACACUGGGACUGAGAUACGGCUCAGACUCCUACGGGAGGCAGCAGCUAAGAAUAUUCCGCAAUGGACGGAAGUCUGACGGAGCGACGCCGCGUGGAUGAAGAAGGCCGAAAGGUUGUAAAGUUCUUUUGCUAGGGGAGAAUAAGUGUGGGAGGGAAUGCCUGCACGAUGACAAGGACUAGCGAAUAAGUCCCGGCCAACUACGUGCC